AGGCCGGGGACAUGGAAGCCCAGAAGGGAGCAUUCACUGUAGGUGCCCAAUGAAGGCAUUUUCUGAUUCAGUGACAGCCACAGAGCAGGGCCGGAUUUGGAACAAGAGGCUGGGAAAACAACAGAAAGCACAGAUAUGACAGUUUCAGCUCCCUGAAGACACUUCCUACCAGUCGCAGUUGCAGCAGCAGCAGCAGCAGCAGCAGCAGCAGCAGCAGCGGACACACGUAUUGGCACCAAGAGAGACAUUGCUCAAGAAUGGAAGAAUACGUGCAGCUUAACAACUAAAGCUUCAGAACCCUGGUCAUCCAUCGCAUCACAGGUAAGGCCCUGUUAGGAAGCGAGUGUCCGGAUG
Apodemus sylvaticus (European woodmouse) is the source of this 354-nucleotide long non-coding RNA. RefSeq lists it as uncharacterized. The record is from RefSeq and is a predicted model, not a curated record. NCBI's taxonomy places the organism in Eukaryota, Metazoa, Chordata, Mammalia, Rodentia, Muridae. The transcript is spliced from 3 exons.